Molecule: ribosomal RNA, 470 nt
Filed under: uncultured bacterium
Lineage: Bacteria
Description: partial 16S ribosomal RNA
Rfam family: Bacterial small subunit ribosomal RNA
Source: RNAcentral
GACGAACGCUGGCGGCGUGCUUAACACAUGCAAGUCGAACGCUGAAGCACCAGCUUGCUGGUGUGGAUGAGUGGCGAACGGGUGAGUAAUACGUGAGUAACCUGCCCUUGACUCUGGGAUAAGCCCGGGAAACUGGGUCUAAUACUGGAUGCUACAUGUCACCGCAUGGUGGUGUGUGGAAAGGGUUUACUGGUCUUGGAUGGGCUCACGGCCUAUCAGCUUGUUGGUGAGGUAAUGGCUCACCAAGGCGACGACGGGUAGCCGGCCUGAGAGGGUGACCGGCCACACUGGGACUGAGACACGGCCCAGACUCCGACGGGAGGCAGCAGUGGGGAAUAUUGCACAAUGGGCGAAAGCCUGAUGCAGCGACGCCGCGUGAGGGAUGACGGCCUUCGGGUUGUAAACCUCUUUCAGCAGGGAAGAAGCCACAAGUGACGGUACCUGCAGAAGAAGCGCCGGCUAACUACGUG